CAAUCAAAAGGUUGAGGCAAUGUUGUUCUGUCUUCUCAGCUGCUUAAUAUUUGGAAAUGGUGAGCGAAGAAACAAGCAAGUGGAAAACGACCCCAAGUCCCCUCCCCAGGACUGCAGAAUUCUACGUUUUUCAUCAGACCAACCAGAUUCUCAUUUUGUGCCACACUGGCAAAAAAACGAAGUAACCUUCUGAAAGAAAUGAAUUUUCCCUGCACAUCUGAAAUCACAGUGUUGUGGUGUGUGGAACUUAGGAGCCCUUUGGACUGCCUAGCUCCAGUUACUGGAGAGUUACUGCUGUUAUUGCAGAAUGUAACGAGAUGAAACUCCCCUGAAGAUAUUCCCUGCCCAGAAGUUGAUGGGACUGCUCAUUUUGCUCUGUUACACCCUUUUUUAAAUGGCUCUUCAUAAAGAUUUGUUUUGCAGCAGUUUCAAGUUAUAUGAGGGAGCUGUAAGAGUGAUGGCACUGCAUGGAAACGGGAUGCACAGGAUCUUAGAGCUUAUCAGCUGAAGGCUCGGAUGCUGCAUGGCACGUGCUGACGCUCUGAAGUGCAUCUUUUUAGUUGUUUCCCAUCUGUGCACAUGAAAUAGCUUGCAUCCUGUGUCAGACAAUUGAUGUUGCUACAGCUGAAAUGAACAGUCCUGGAAAUGUACACUUACCUUUGAUUUUGGAAGUAAUUUUUAUGAAUCUUAGGGGUCUAGAAUUACAGACUAUUCAGACACUGCUAGCAAAAUAUUUGGGUCAUUGUUCAAAUAAUUAGCAGAGCAGAAGCUUCAUGAGAGCUGGUACCGUGGAGGACACCUUGCUACAAGUAGCUGCAGUAUCAAACUGGAUGUCCCGAACAGUUGUUAUCUAAACUAUUACAUUAGAUAAUCAGUAAUGUCUUAUCUGUUCCUAUUUUUAAGGUAUUGAGAUUCUGUUGUGUUUUUUUUUCUGUUGUGUUUUUUUUUCAUACUAUUGUUUUGUUUUGUAUUUAAAUGAGAAUGAGAUUUUUCUUGAUUUUCGCAGCUGCAUAGAAUAGAAUAGAAUUCUGAAUAGAAUUUCCUUUACCAAUUAUAAAAGGGGUUUGGUGAAAGGCAGAUUGUACAGUAGCUGCCUGCUUAGCUGACAGGUGAGAGAUUUAUUAGGGGGCUGUAUUAUGUUUGUUGAUUUAUUUAUUAUUAAAAAUCCCUGGUAUCACUUAUGUUCUCUUCUAUAUUUUUGGCUUCUGGUAAUCAAAGUCAUAAAUGGAACAGAUGUAAACUUUCCCGGUCUCUUUACAGCGUAGACCUGUAGGAAACUUAUGACAAAAUAAAUAUAUAAAUAAAUCUCUUUUAAUAUUCUCCCAGUAUUUUUUUGACUGUAACUGCAAUAAUUUUAUCCAUUUUAUAAACUCAAAAGCCUAAGAGCUGUUAAAAUUGUGGACUUAGUAAUUGUCUUUUUGUUUUGAUAGCUGUACAGUGUUACUGCAGUGUAAAAGCCAAACAAAGCAGUCAGUAAUGUUAAUAUGCAGUUAAAUUUUUAAAAGUCACAGGAGAAGCCAAGGGAAAACCUUACAAUUCAUAUCAGAGAAGCAGGCAAAUAGGUGGGGUCAGUUAAGGAACUGGAAAACCGGAAAGACUUACGAAUAUUCCCCGGCCCCUUGGCUGUCUGGUUAAAUUAGGCAGAUACCGCUUACGUGGCUUUGUGUCUGUAAUGCCUAAUGUUAUUUUAUCUUGUCUAGAAAAUUCACCUGAUGGGUGAAGAUGUAUAGGUUUAAUGCCGGAUUUAUGAGACUUCUCUCUCUGACGUUAGAAUUCCCUUGCUGUAGCCCCACGUUCCCAGAAUGCCUGUAACAGGGAGCAGGAUUAGGCAGCUGUCAGCAUCGCUUCCCGUCAUUUCAGAACGACUGACUUGCCAUUGUGGAUGACUCUGACUUCUCCCUCUCAUUUUAAAAAUUUAAAUAAUUGGUGGCUUUUAAUUAAAAGACUUGCUUUAAUCCAUUGCUAGUGAAGCAGAGAGCUGCUCUCAAGUGUCUAGCGCUAAUGUACGUAUAAUAAUGUAGCACGGGGUCUAGAGAAUAUUUAUGAGCGGCUGUGUAUUUUCUCUGAAGAUUCUAAGCUAUUUUGCAGGACUUAGAUUUUAAUAUUGAAAGCUGCUUUGAACAAAUUUGGGUACUCCGGUUGCUGGAUGCUGCAGUGAGAAUGCUAUAUGAAGUUGUUAAGGGAGUAGGGAAGAAAGCAUUUUACAAUGAAAAAGCUGUAAUACUAAAGAGUUUAAGUGACUACUGCAAAUAUAUUUCUGUCCAUAUGUGUUUUUUGACUUGAAUUUUGACUUAACUGAAAUGGAGUGGUGGAGGUGGAUCUUCUCUGUCCCCUAAAAAUAAAUAAAAAACCUUAGAAAAACA
Molecule: long non-coding RNA, 2363 nt
Organism: Cygnus olor (mute swan)
Lineage: Eukaryota; Metazoa; Chordata; Aves; Anseriformes; Anatidae
Exons: 4
Source: RefSeq, a predicted model, not a curated record